Molecule: long non-coding RNA, 3162 nt
Organism: Homo sapiens (human)
Lineage: Eukaryota; Metazoa; Chordata; Mammalia; Primates; Hominidae
Gene: COL23A1-AS3
Product: COL23A1 antisense RNA 3
Exons: 3
Source: RefSeq, a predicted model, not a curated record
AACCCCACAUAUUUUGUUUUGUUUUGUUUUUUGGCUUUAAGUCAAUUCAAGUUGGCUGUUUUUAUGACAAGCAACAGUGUCCUAACAGGUGUGAGCAGUAUUUUUAGGGAGUCAGACAACAUAACUGCGGGGCACUAAGCAUCAGCCCAUGCCCUAGAGUUACAGUGUAUCAAGGUUUUAUCACAUGUUAAUUCUGGCCUCUCCUAUAGGACCUAUCAUCCUCUUGUUAUCUGCUAAUUUGAUCACUGUAUACAUUUUGCAUCUCCAAGUUGUUGAAAACACUGACAGGAUAGCCUAAGUGUAGAACCUACAGUCCAGAAGAAGAAAUACCUCCUGGCUGACACAGUGCACUCACUCAUUCACUGAUUCACUCACUCCUUCAUUCAUUCAGUAUCUAUUGAGUCCUACUACGGGUCAGUCAUAGUUCUAAUUAGACUUGUGUGACUAUUAACCAACCAGCUACACUCCCAGCCAGACUCUGGUCCCAAAUGUCUCCUUUUCAGACAAAAACACAUUAGGACGUUUUGGUCAGCACCCAUAUGAAGUCCAAAUACACUGGAAUUAAACACUCCCUCGACCCACAGUCCCACAGGAGCGCCCCGUCACUCGGCCACAGAGCCGAUGGCUGCUUCACCUCCCCACCGGCUGUGGGUGUCGGCUGCAGGUCUGACACUGGCUCACUGCGCUAGAGUUUCCCGAAUCCAUCCCUCUGGAAACUGGCAUGGUUCUGAUGGCCUAUCCAUCACCCUCUGUUCUUCCUCAAAGACACAGCCUAUUUCUAUGAUCACAUUAGCAAGUCCUUUCCACACUCUGGCACAACCCAUCUGGGUGUGGACACGUAGGUUCACGUAAUGGGAUUUGUCACACGUGGUCAGCACCUGCUAUGUGGGAGAACCUCCUAGAACCUCCCCACACACCCUUCGCUUUGCGGCCCUCCUGACUGUUCCCCAUCAGACCCCUCCACCUGAGGUAAAAGUGGCAAUCCAGGACUCAAGGCACCAGUGGUCUGGCUACCACCUCGGUCCCGCCCCGGGUCACAUGGGGAGCUCUUCUUUGAUCUUGUGCCACAUGGACAUUUAAAGCCGCGUGUGCUUUUCUGCACAUUUCCGCCUGUUGGUUUCUGGGCCCCUCCCUGGCUUUGUUUCCCUCCCUCCCGCCUAAGCCCACGUCCCUUGUAAGUCUGAGAAGAAAGCUCCACACAUGGCCAGAACUGCCUGGCCCCCGCCCCUUACAGGAAGUCCGUCUUCUUCCUUCUUCCUCCUGAUAUCUGCUUGCCUCAUUUCUAGGUUUUGAAUCUCUUGGUUUGGGAUUGGCAGCUCCAGGCCCCCAGGAGGGUGAGCUGAGGGUGAAGCAGGCCCACAGGAGGGUGAGCUGAGGGUGGAGCAGGCCCACAGGUGGGGCCCGCCUGUGCAGAGAGUACUCAGCCUUGGUCCCCUGAGAUGCAGGAGCUUGUUCAUCUGGUGGAGUUGAGGCCAUGAUCAUCCCUCACGGGCCGUCUUCCUAAGGCUAUCUGAUCCUGCCUCUCCCAUCUCCAACAUCAGCAGACACCGAAUUAUAGUUCUAGAAGGGUGGUCGGGGAGGCGCCUGGGAACUCACCCGGCCCAGCAGUUGCACCUUUGAUUAGCAGAAUCACCCGGACAGCUUUUCCUGUCCCCACUCCAGAGGCUCUGAGUCACGAGGUCUUGGGUGGGCCUAAGGCACCUGGAUCUACAAAAAGUGCCCCCAUCCCCCAUGACUCUGCUGAUGAACUGCACAGGGGCUCCCCCUCACCUAUGGGGAAGCCGGCACCUUGCAGGUUUCAGGGCACACUGCAGGGAGCCUGCCCAGGCCCCAGCCUCCAGCAGGCACAGCCAGCAUUUCCAGUGCCUGGGGCUGAACUGGCUUGGAAGCCUGGGCUCCGAGCUGCUCACUCACAACCCUCGCCAAUACAGCCUGAAUUUAUUAAGCAAUGGGCUCUUCCUGUCAGGCGAAUAAACAGAUGCACAAGCAGAUACAGCAGUAAAGAAUAAACCGUAGGGGCAAUAACAAUCUCUUUGUAAUUUCUCUUUGGGGUGGGCUUUAUGAUGUUGCUGUGUGUGCGUGUGUGUGUGUGUGUGUGUGUGUGUGUGUGUGUGAUAAAUAAGCAAAAUUGUUUUCCUGGGACUCCAUCCAGGAACAUUAGAUAUGGGGUCCAGCCCCAGCGCACAGGAAACCCUGCUCAGGCAGAUGGUGUGGGAGAGCGAGGUUGUGCUUUGAUGCAUGGGGUAGAGGAACCCUAGGAGGCACUGAGACCUCGGUGGCUGUCCCAGGCUCUGUCCUCCCUGCAUAUGGCCUCAGGCAGCUCAAGGCUUAGCUUCCCACUGGCCUCCUCCCUCCCGGACACUCACGCAUUUCAGGUCUGACGGGUACCCGCCACCCAAUCCCUCUUUCUUUUGACGGGUACCCGCCACCCAAUCCCUCUUUCUUCUGAUGUCGACAGGAUCAAGCACAAGCCUCCUUGGCAGGGAUGAGGGGUCCUCAGGUCUGGCUGGGCCCACCUGGCUGCUUCCUGGUCUCUACCACAUGCCCCAGCCUCACCCCACGGCCCGCCCAGCACCCGCCAGGCAUGCAGUGGCCCCUCUCUUCUCCUCGACAACUGCGUGCUGUUCCCGGCAGACCCUUGCGUUUCCUGUUCUCUGCCUGGAAAGCCAUGUCUUGUUCUCCACGCCCAGUUCUGAUGUCACCUUUCUCACACCCAGGAGUCCUCUGUGACCUGGGAGGGGGCCCACUCCCCCUACCCUCAGCGCUGGGCACUGGCUUGUGAUGGUCUCCUGGCCACAUGGGGAGCUCCUCGAGGGCAAGGCCUGGGAACAUCUGGAGUCAGUGAACACAGCAGGAAGGGGGGAUGGUCAAGCGCACCACAGGCUUGGAAGCAGACACGCCCAGUUCAAGCCCCACUCCAGCCCUCCUCAAGUGGGUCACUCCUCACGGCCUGUGAGUUCACCUCUUCAUCUGAGCUCGCUUCAGAUGACGCCCCCAGUGCCAGCAUAUCAUCCAAACGCCUACUUCCCACUUCUGGGAACUUCUCGCUCCCAGAUUCAGAAACUGUCCUGGGGCACCAGCAGUGACUUGAGCAGGGGAAGAGUGGGGCCAAGCCUGGCCUCCAGAAGCCAUCGGCCUCCAGAAGCCGUCAGCCUCCAGAAG